GGGUGGGGCGCCCCCCGGUGGGAUAACUACUCUCUACCCGGGCUAAUACCGUAUGGUUGUAUGAACCGCAUGGUUCAAACAUAAAAGGUGGCUUCGGCUACCACUUACAGAUGGACCCGCGGCGCAUUAGCUAGUUGGUGAGGUAACGGCUCACCAAGGCAACGAUGCGUAGCCGACCUGAGAGGGUGAUCGGCCACACUGGGACUGAGACACGGCCCAGACUCCUACGGGAGGCAGCAGUAGGGAAUCUUCCGCAAUGGACGAAAGUCUGACGGAGCAACGCCGCGUGAGUGAUGAAGGUUUUCGGAUCGUAAAGCUCUGUUGUUAGGGAAGAACAAGUACCGUUCGAAUAGGGCGGUACCUUGACGGUACCUAACCAGAAAGCCACGGCUAACUACGUGCCAGCAGCCGCGGUAAUACGUAGGUGGCAAGCGUUGUCCGGAAUUAUUGGGCGUAAAGGGCUCGCAGGCGGUUUCUUAAGUCUGAUGUGAAAGCCCCCGGCUCAACCGGGGAGGGUCAUUGGAAACUGGGGAACUUGAGUGCAGAAGAGGAGAGUGGAAUUCCACGUGUAGCGGUGAAAUGCGUAGAGAUGUGGAGGAACACCAGUGGCGAAGGCGACUCUCUGGUCUGUAACUGACGCUGAGGAGCGAAAGCGUGGGGAGCGAACAGGAUUAGAUACCCUGGUAGUCCACGCCGUAAACGAUGAGUGCUAAGUGUUAGGGGGUUUCCGCCCCUUAGUGCUGCAGCUAACGCAUUAAGCACUCUUGCCGGGGCCCCGCCCGCC
This 784-nucleotide ribosomal RNA is filed under the name Bacillus sp. ND35. RNAcentral's name for it is "bacterial SSU rRNA". It matches the Rfam family "Bacterial small subunit ribosomal RNA", at positions 115 to 873 of the family's 1533-position model. Lineage: Bacteria; Bacillati; Bacillota; Bacilli; Caryophanales; Bacillaceae. The record is from RNAcentral.